This is a long non-coding RNA of Perca fluviatilis (European perch), 602 nucleotides long. RefSeq lists it as uncharacterized. The record is from RefSeq and is a predicted model, not a curated record. The transcript is spliced from 4 exons. Lineage: Eukaryota; Metazoa; Chordata; Actinopteri; Perciformes; Percidae.
UUGAUGGAGAGCCAGACCAUCUUGUACCUUCGUCCUCUGCAUUCCUUGUUGAGAGUGACCUGUUUCUGAUGGCAGGCUGCAUGAUUGGUCAUUGCUUUUUGCAUGGAGGUCCUCCACUGACAGGCCUAAGCCCUGCGAUUGUUCACAUCCUGUGUGGGGGCACAGUUGAAACCACCAUCAUACAAAUCAAUGACUGUCCAGACAUUGAUCUGCGGGAGAAAAUUACACUGCUUGAAGGGAGUUCUGAACUCUCAGCUGAUGAAAAGGAGAGCCUUGACAACUUGUGUCUUGCAUGGGACCUUCCUUUGAUGACAGAAAACAACCGAAGAUGGCUCUUUGAAAGGCCUCUAUGUCAUGCGGUCAUUGGAAGGUUCAUGAGGCAAAUAAAGCAAAUAAGAAAAGGGCUUAAAGAACCAUGUUGUGGCCACUCAUUAGUGAACGUCCAGAUGUAGCUCCAGUGAUUUUCCCUCGGGAGUCAAGGGCUGUCUUGACCCCACAGUGCAUUCUGGAACGCAUCUGCUGGCCUACAAUGACUGAUGAGGACGACGACAAUGAAUGCUCUGUGAUGGAUAAGAGCCGCAUCACGUGGUACCUUCGCCGGU